AUCUUCGGGGUCGGGUGAAAUUCCCAACCGGCGGUAUAGUCCGCGACCCGCUUGUACCUCUUUGUUUGGAUAGAAUCUAUAACACAGUUUUUAUCUUACGUAUAAGCGGCUGAACCGGUGACAUAGUUACAAUGAAUUCCGGUACCGACAGUAAAGUCUGGAUGGUAGAAGAA
RNAcentral lists this non-coding RNA (173 nucleotides) under uncultured Schaedlerella sp. RNAcentral's name for it is "FMN riboswitch (RFN element)". It matches the Rfam family "FMN riboswitch aptamer (RFN element)". From Rfam's summary of the family: The RFN element is a highly conserved domain that is found frequently in the 5'-untranslated regions of prokaryotic mRNAs that encode for flavin mononucleotide (FMN) biosynthesis and transport proteins. This element is a metabolite-dependent riboswitch that directly binds FMN in the absence of proteins. The record is from RNAcentral. Lineage: Bacteria; Bacillati; Bacillota; Clostridia; Lachnospirales; Lachnospiraceae.